ACCCCAAACCGACACAGGUGGUCAGGUAGAGAAUACCAAGGCGCUUGAGAGAACUCGGGUGAAGGAACUAGGCAAAAUGGUGCCGUAACUUCGGGAGAAGGCACGCUGAUAUGUAGGUGAAGUCCCUUGCGGAUGGAGCUGAAAUCAGUCGAAGAUACCAGCUGGCUGCAACUGUUUAUUAAAAACACAGCACUGUGCAAACACGAAAGUGGACGUAUACGGUGUGACGCCUGCCCGGUGCCGG
RNAcentral lists this ribosomal RNA (244 nucleotides) under Escherichia coli. RNAcentral describes it as "partial 23S ribosomal RNA". It matches the Rfam family "Bacterial large subunit ribosomal RNA", at positions 1646 to 1872 of the family's 2925-position model. The record is from RNAcentral. Lineage: Bacteria; Pseudomonadati; Pseudomonadota; Gammaproteobacteria; Enterobacterales; Enterobacteriaceae.